AAUUACAUAAACAAAAUUAUUCGCCAGAGUACUACUAGCAACAGCUUAAAACUCAAAGGACUUGGCGGUGCUUUAUAUCCUUCUAGAGGAGCCUGUUCUAUAAUCGAUAAACCCCGAUAAACCUCACCAAUUCUUGCUAAUACAGUCUAUAUACCGCCAUCUUCAGCAAACCCUAAAAAGGAAAAAAAGUAAGCGUAAUUAUGAUACAUAAAAACGUUAGGUCAAGGUGUAACCUAUGAAAUGGGAAGAAAUGGGCUACAUUCUCUACACCAAGAGAAUCAAGCACGAAAGUUAUUAUGAAACCAAUAACCAAAGGAGGAUUUAGCAGUAAACUAAGAAUAGAGUGCUUAGUUGAAUUAGGCCAUGAAGCACGCACACACCGCCCGCC
RNAcentral lists this ribosomal RNA (388 nucleotides) under Bos taurus (domestic cattle). RNAcentral's name for it is "partial small subunit ribosomal RNA". It matches the Rfam family "Bacterial small subunit ribosomal RNA", at positions 848 to 1398 of the family's 1533-position model. Lineage: Eukaryota; Metazoa; Chordata; Mammalia; Artiodactyla; Bovidae. The record is from RNAcentral.